This 1375-nucleotide ribosomal RNA is filed under the name uncultured bacterium. RNAcentral describes it as "16S ribosomal RNA". It matches the Rfam family "Bacterial small subunit ribosomal RNA". The record is from RNAcentral.
UUAGAGUUUGAUCCUGGCUCAGGACGAACGCUGGCGGCGCGCCUAACACAUGCAAGUCGAACGGAGCUUAGAGAGCUUGCUUUUUAAGCUUAGUGGCGAACGGGUGAGUAACGCGUGAGUAACCUGCCCUAGAGUGGGGGACAACAGUUGGAAACGACUGCUAAUACCGCAUAAGCCCACGGUGCCGCAUGACACUGAGGGAAAAGGAUUUAUUCGCUUUAGGAUGGACUCGCGUCCAAUUAGCUAGUUGGUGAGGUAACGGCCCACCAAGGCGACGAUUGGUAGCCGGACUGAGAGGUUGAACGGCCACAUUGGGACUGAGACACGGCCCAGACUCCUACGGGAGGCAGCAGUGGGGGAUAUUGCACAAUGGGGGAAACCCUGAUGCAGCGACGCCGCGUGGAGGAAGAAGGUUUUCGGAUUGUAAACUCCUGUCGUUAGGGACGAUAAUGACGGUACCUAACAAGAAAGCACCGGCUAACUACGUGCCAGCAGCCGCGGUAAAACGUAGGGUGCAAGCGUUGUCCGGAAUUACUGGGUGUAAAGGGAGCGCAGGCGGGAAGACAAGUUGGAAGUGAAAACCAUGGGCUCAACCCAUGAAUUGCUUUCAAAACUGUUUUUCUUGAGUAGUGCAGAGGGUAGAUGGAAUUCCCGGUGUAGCGGUGGAAUGCGUAGAUAUCGGGAGGAACACCAGUGGCGAAGGCGGUCUACUGGGCACCAACUGACGCUGAGGCUCGAAAGCAUGGGUAGCAAACAGGAUUAGAUACCCUGGUAGUCCAUGCCGUAAACGAUGAUUACUAGGUGUUGGGGGAUUGACCCCCUCAGUGCCGCAGUUAACACAAUAAGUAAUCCACCUGGGGAGUACGACCGCAAGGUUGAAACUCAAAGGAAUUGACGGGGGCCCGCACAAGCAGUGGAGUAUGUGGUUUAAUUCGAAGCAACGCGAAGAACCUUACCAGGUCUUGACAUCCGAUGCAUAACACAGAGAUGUGUGAAAUCCUUCGGGACAUCGAGACAGGUGGUGCAUGGUUGUCGUCAGCUCGUGUCGUGAGAUGUUGGGUUAAGUCCCGCAACGAGCGCAACCCUUAUUGCCAGUUACUACGUUAAGAGGACUCUGGCGAGACUGCCGUUGACAAAACGGAGGAAGGUGGGGAUGACGUCAAAUCAUCAUGCCCUUUAUGACCUGGGCUACACACGUACUACAAUGGCGUUAAACAAAGAGAAGCAAGACCGCGAGGUGGAGCAAAACUCAAAAACAACGUCUCAGUUCAGAUUGCAGGCUGCAACUCGCCUGCAUGAAGUCGGAAUUGCUAGUAAUCGCGGAUCAGCAUGCCGCGGUGAAUACGUUCCCGGGCCUUGUACACACCGCCCGUCA